GCUCCUUUUCCCUAGUCUAAACUCUCAAGAGCCUCAGGCCAAAGCUGUGCAAGGAGUUGCGGCGGAAAGCGGUUACUUUUUACUAGUUACCUGAGGUUAACCUCAGUCUGGAAGCAGAUGACCCUCCUUCUGAAGAAUUAUUGGAAGGUCAAUAGUAGCCUUACACCAUAUUACAAUGCCUGCAUCAUUCAUGUCACUUUAUCUCAUCACCUGGGCAUUUUGCCAUCUCACACCAUCACGGGAAGGGAAAUAGAAGCAGCUCUGGGCUGAGGACUCAUUCUGCUCUUCCUUUCUGGAUGUACAGUUUGGGCUCAAUUUCUCCAAGACCAUUAACCCAGUAAUCUGAGCUCAGUGGCUCCAGCAUCCACAUGACUGGAAACAGAAGGGUUUCGCCUCUUGCUGUUGGAGGGGUUUAACACACUGUGGAGCUUAGUGGAUUUCUUUCAGGUUUUGUUUCAGCUGCCAAGAGCUCAGGGACUCAAGCAUUUUAAAAAGCUCAAGGAAUGUCAGAGAAUUGAGAAGGGACCCAGGGAAUUGGUGUUUGCUGAGCUAUUGCUGGUGUGCCUGGGAUGGAGAACAAGGAGGCCUAAGAGAUGUGGCCCAUCCUGAAGAUCUGGCUGAGAGGGCUUUGUGCUGCAGGUCUAGCCUCUUUAGUAAUCUUCUCUGCAAGCAAAUGCAUGUGGAGCCAGUGACUAUGAAGUCGGUCAUAUUAAAUUUACUCAGUUUUCUUCAAGUCUUCAAGCGUGAAGCGUUGCAAACCUUCAUAUGUAUACUAGGGAAAGAAAGGAAGAAAAAAAAGAACUCCACCACAAGGCCUAAGGAAAAGGCUGUGGAAAGAAAACAGCAAGAUAAAGCAACACAAUUUCAAAUCUUAAUCUCCUGAAAUGGUGCCUUUAAAGCCGCACUUUCCACAUUUCUGAGUGGAGCCCGUCAAAACUCCGUGUCAAAUCAUGUUAUAACCUUGCUUCUUAUCUGUUUGUGAUAGCUUUCAAGGGCCAGUAAUUCCCCCAUAUGUGGCAGAAAAGUUGUUGGUAGAGAUUUGCGCACUUGACUAAGCUUCCUGCAUUGCUUUUUGUGCAGUGCUGGUGAAGGACAGAGAUUUGUUCUCCCUUUCAGAACUAAACAUGCAACUGCCAACGACACAGUCAAGAAGCAAACCAGAAUCACUCACUUGGUCAGAGAACCCUGACGAAUACAGACUUCAGCACAUCUUUUAGGGGGAUGCAGACCAACCCAUUGCAUGAAACAGUGGCAGUAGCCAAAGAAGACAAAAGUCUGAGAAAGAAUUGGGAGCCAGCAGGCAUGGACAGAAGGCCUACAUUAGGCAUCACGCCAUGGAUUGUAUUUACUGAGUUAGGGGAUUGGAGGAGAGUGAAGGCAGCUAGAUAUGAGCUUCUCUUUCCAUCUUUGUUUCCAGCCAAGGAAACCAGCUGCAAUUCCAGAGAACACAAAGGGAACCACUCCAAAACAGGUUGCAAAAUGCCUAGUUCCUGAGCCAGAUGCAAGCGGCCUGUGCUACACGAGAACUAAAAAAAGAAGAAAGUGGAGGGAAAGGAUGCUCAUCCUUGGAACUCAGCCACCAUUGGUCUGAAGAAGCACAUGCCAUGUGGAGAGGCCCCUGGUUCUCAGGCCUGGCUGAGGUCCCAGCUGACAACUUGCAGGCCAUAUGAAGGCUACAUUGGAAACAUAUCCUCCAGCCCUAAGUCUGGCUGCCUGACUGAGGCUGCACGGAGCACAGAUAGUUCCAUAUUGGCAACAGGAUCAUCUUUUUGCCUUGGGUCCCACACCUUCACAGUUCCUGUUGUGAAUACGACUUCUUUUGAGCCCUUAAUGAGCACUGCCAUCAUUCAACUUGGAACUCAAAGUCCUGAGCACACUCAGUGAUUCUCAGAGAUGAUCUAUCUAGGACCUCUGCACAUGACUUACCAGGUGAGCUUACUAAUAAAUACAGAUUCCUGGGCUCCUCCACAGAUGUAAUGGAUAAACAGCCCCAAAUCUGCUGACUCUUUGGUCCACUGAAGUCUGAUAAUCACUACUUUAAACAUAGAGUAAAUUCAAAGUGAUUUAGAAUGUUUCCAAAGUAGGCCUUGGUAGUCUGAUCUUGAGAUCUUUUGGAAGGAUAAAAUAUGAGUAGUGUUUACUUUGUAUAUGUUUCUUCCUUUAUAAUGUAUUAUUUUCUCACUAAAUUCCUUACUAUUUUCAUCUAGUUACAUAUUUUUCAGUGUACCAUCAUGCUGGGCACAGCAAAUCUACAGUCGAACUGGCUGAAGCUUGUCUAAAUCCAGGUUAGUUAAGAGAAAGGAAUGCAGGAAAGCACCCACUACUGUGGGUGUCUGAGUCUACCCAAGAUGGCAGGGUGAUGAAUGGCUCAAGUAAGUUAUGUUAAUACACCCCUUCUCCUGCCUCCCUCUUUUCUCCUGGAGCUUCUAUCCACAUUUCUCUUUAACAAGUCAGUUUUUGAUAACUUAUACUUAAAAAAAAAAAUGAAGGUAGCUAUUCACGAAAUGUAAUCCCAACUUAUUACUAGGCCAAGAUUUAUUAGUAAAAUCUCCCUAAUUAAAAUUUCAGAUAGCUCAACCUAGGAGACCAUGUUUAUUUUUGUAGCAUCAUUGUGAAAGAAUCAGGACUAAACAGGACUGAGAUUCCACUUCAAAGAAUUGCUUUACUGUUUGACUUUAAAAUACUGCUUUUUACAACACAAAAUUAUAAGACUUAACAAUGAAAAUAAGUCAGUAAUACCUGUGACUAUGCUAGGAAACUCUAUUAGGGAGACAGUCAAUAGUUAUAUUUGUUGCUUAGUCUUAUGCUGAAAUAUGUUAUUUUUAAAAAGAACAUUCAGACUGGUUUCUCCCAAGUUCUCUGAAAGUAUAUGUAAGAACUGAUGCAUUCUAAUAAAUGCUAACUUAAUUAUUAAGCAGUUAAAGCAAGGGGAAUUAAAAUAGCUUCAUUCUAUUUUAUGAUUCAUGUCAGUAAUUUAAUAAGAAAGCAACAGAUUCUAAGUGAGAAUCAAGAAAGGUCACCUUAGAAAACAUGAAGUAGAGAAGAUAGUUUCUUUCUAGAACAUUACUAUAUACUUUAAACAGUAAAAAUAAGACAUAUUCUUGAAAAGUAAUUGAGGAAUUUCAGUUCAUGCAAUCUAAGUAGGAAAUAACUAAAGGUAGAACAUGAAAAUUAUAAGCAUUUGGCAUAGUUACGGUCUUGUUCAUUUGCAACAGGUUUACAUUGAUUUGCUCAAUAGAUGUGUUCCUAAAAAGUUGUGCUUAGAUGUGCAGAAUUUUUUUAAUGAAUUGGGAAUUCUACAUUAAAAAAUUCAAACAAAGAAAACCUCAGUGUAUCAUUCUAUAAUGCCAAAUGUCUCACUGAAAUAUAAACAGUAUCUUAAGUUUUCCAUGUUUUACAUGUGUGGGGAAUAGCCCUUUAUGUACAAAUACAGGGGAUUAAAUGCUAGCACCAAACAGCAUGUGUGGAAAUAAAUAUUGGUAACAUUAUUCAAACUAGCUAAAGAAAAACAGUAUUUUUAAAUGGAUUUUGAAUAUGAAAUCUAGAAAUAUAUAUUAAAGGGCAAUUCUUACAUUUUUAUAAAUAGUUAAAAUUGAACAAGGAACAUUUUAAAAUAAGAAACCCCCCUUUCAGAGGAAGAGUAACAAGACUAUCAAGGAAACUGCCUAUCUUGCGUCUUAAUAUUGACUAAAUAAUCUUACCAUAUAUGAAGGUUUCCAGCAAAAUCUCCAGUAGCUAAAUAUCUCUGCUGUAAAGAUGUUGCACCAAAUGUUCCACACUUAAUGGGUUUGGCCUUUUCAAUCUUGACAGAGGGAAGGAAAGAGGAUACAUUAUUUAUGUAAGCAGCUAUUUAUAAUUCAUGAUAUUUAUGGCUCUACUAUGGGCCUUAAAUAAGGCACAUAAUAUAAAAAGCAAUGAAAAAUUUUCUGAUCAAAAUUAUGCUUUUCCUUUCAUCACUUUUCUGUAGUUUAAAAGUGUGUAACUGUCAAAAAGAAUGAGUUUUAAUUUUGCCUUUGCUCUCAUCUCACUAAUGAGACAUUCAAAUGCUGACAAGUGCACCAUCUCCAUUGGUUUGCAAAUAUGAACAUUUCAACAUUUCAUGUGGUAUUCUUCUCUAAGAUCCUCAGUAGGAAUAAGAACAUAAUGAAGAUGUUAUUCUUUCCAGAUGGCUACAGGAACAAAAAUGUUCAUGUGUCUCUUAUAGUUUUCCCUGCAGAACCCUAUAAACUGAGAGUGUUUAUGUCACUAUUCUCUCUGGGACCUUGUCAAUGCACACAGAUUUGUAGAUGUGUGAGUGCCAAAGGCACUGCUAUUGCUAUGGAUUAGCCAAUAUUUUGAAGUUUCUUUAAAAAGCUCUGUUUCAAGUAUUGCAUAUAAUCCCAUUAGUAGAACAACCACAUACCAAUGCACUAGUUAAGGUACAUGGCUUAAGGAAAUCAAGUCUAGACCAUAUUAUCAAAAGGAUCCUAAGAAAUGAUAUCAUACAGGGGCGCCGAAGGUUGGCUCAGUCAGUAAAGGGGCCAACUCUUGAUUUCGGCUCAGGUCAUGCUCUCACUGUUGGUGGGAUCAAACCCCAUGUCUGGCUCUAUGCUGACAACAAGGAGCCUGCUUGGGAUCCUUUCUCUCUCUCUCAAAAAUAAACAAACAUUAAAAAAAAAAAAGAAA
Long non-coding RNA from Acinonyx jubatus (cheetah), 4665 nucleotides. RefSeq lists it as uncharacterized. The transcript is spliced from 8 exons. The record is from RefSeq and is a predicted model, not a curated record. NCBI's taxonomy places the organism in Eukaryota, Metazoa, Chordata, Mammalia, Carnivora, Felidae.